AGUGAACGCUGGCGGUAGGCCUAACACAUGCAAGUCGAACGGCAGCACAGUAAGAGCUUGCUCGUACGGGUGGCGAGUGGCGGACGGGUGAGGAAUACAUCGGAAUCUACUUUUUCGUGGGGGAUAACGUAGGGAAACUUACGCUAAUACCGCAUACGACCUACGGGUGAAAGCAGGGGAUCUUCGGACCUUGCGCGAUUGAAUGAGCCGAUGUCGGAUUAGCUAGUUGGCGGGGUAAAGGCCCACCAAGGCGACGAUCCGUAGCUGGUCUGAGAGGAUGAUCAGCCACACUGGAACUGAGACACGGUCCAGACUCCUACGGGAGGCAGCAGUGGGGAAUAUUGGACAAUGGGCGAAAGCCUGAUCCAGCCAUACCGCGUGGGUGAAGAAGGCCUUCGGGUUGUAAAGCCCUUUUGUUGGGAAAGAAAAGCAGCAGGUUAAUACCCCGCUGUUCUGACGGUACCCAAAGAAUAAGCACCGGCUAACUUCGUG
This 492-nucleotide ribosomal RNA is filed under the name uncultured bacterium. Its description in RNAcentral is "partial 16S ribosomal RNA". It matches the Rfam family "Bacterial small subunit ribosomal RNA", at positions 29 to 507 of the family's 1533-position model. The record is from RNAcentral.